Molecule: ribosomal RNA, 321 nt
Filed under: Hastigerinella digitata
Lineage: Eukaryota; Foraminifera; Rotaliida; Globanomalinidae
Description: partial 18S ribosomal RNA
Source: RNAcentral
UUUGUGCAUGGCCGUUCUUAGUUCGUGGAGUGAUCUGUCUGCCCAAUCGCGUUUCAAAUUUACGAGUCGAGUUGUUGUGAGUUCUCGCGUUGGCUUUGUAGGUGUACCGCACAUGCAAUUGCCACGCGCGUCUCACUUACAGACUCUCUUGAACGCAACGGACGGGACCGUACCCUCUUGUUGUGUAGAGCAAGUCAAAGCUGCGUUGUACUUUGUAUCUCUUAACGGAAUGCAAGUUCAAUUGCAUUAGCUAGCGACUCCACUACACAUGUUCACGUCGUCUCAUCUUCAAUUCACUUGAGUCGACUGGACAAACUGAGG